UGGGGAAUUUUGGACAAUGGGCGAAAGCCUGAUCCAGCAAUGCCGCGUGUGUGAAGAAGGCCUUCGGGUUGUAAAGCACUUUUGUCCGGAAAGAAAUCCUUGGCUCUAAUACAGUCGGGGGAUGACGGUACCGGAAGAAUAAGCACCGGCUAACUACGUGCCAGCAGCCGCGGUAAUACGUAGGGUGCAAGCGUUAAUCGGAAUUACUGGGCGUAAAGCGUGCGCAGGCGGUUUGCUAAGACCGAUGUGAAAUCCCCGGGCUCAACCUGGGAACUGCAUUGGUGACUGGCAGGCUAGAGUAUGGCAGAGGGGGGUAGAAUUCCACGUGUAGCAGUGAAAUGCGUAGAGAUGUGGAGGAAUACCGAUGGCGAAGGCAGCCCCCUGGGCCAAUACUGACGCUCAUGCACGAAAGCGUGGGGGAGCAAACAGGAUUAGAUACCCCUGGUAGUCCACGCCCUAAACGAUGUCAACUAGUUGUUGGGGGAUUCAUUUCCUUAGUAACGUAGCUAACGCGUGAAGUUGACCGCCUGGGGAGUACGGUCGCAAGAUUAAAACUCAAAUGAAUUGACGGGGUCAUACUG
RNAcentral lists this ribosomal RNA (581 nucleotides) under uncultured bacterium. RNAcentral describes it as "partial 16S ribosomal RNA". It matches the Rfam family "Bacterial small subunit ribosomal RNA", at positions 355 to 926 of the family's 1533-position model. The record is from RNAcentral.